GUGUUUGCCAAUCGGCGCCAAAACCUGGGACUCUCUCGAACAUCAAAGCAUGCCUGGGAAUGGAGAAGGCCAUGUUUUGAUUGACAGGCCAUGAGACAGGAUGACUGGGUUUAAAGGGAGAUACAGUGGCUUUAUGGUCAGUGAACUGCAGUCUGCAUCAAGAAGACUGGAUCCAGUCCUAGCCAGGACAUUGCAUAGGCUGUGUUCUUAGGCUAGACACCUAAGUCUGACCAUGUCUCUUUCGACUUGUGGUUACAGAAAGAUAGUCUGAAAUAACACUUGAAAGAAAACUGCUGUAGAAACUAGGAUAGACACUGGCAGCAACAAGUUUGGUCAAUUUUGAUAGAGGACCAGCAAGUUUUACAAGGAGAACUGCAAGUGGAGCAGCAGAUCUUGGCUGACUUGUA
Long non-coding RNA from Stylophora pistillata, 407 nucleotides. NCBI's taxonomy places the organism in Eukaryota, Metazoa, Cnidaria, Anthozoa, Scleractinia, Pocilloporidae. The record is from RefSeq and is a predicted model, not a curated record.